Molecule: unclassified non-coding RNA, 315 nt
Filed under: uncultured Xylariales
Lineage: Eukaryota; Fungi; Ascomycota; Sordariomycetes; Xylariales
Description: sequence contains ITS1
Rfam family: 5.8S ribosomal RNA (bases 1-105)
Source: RNAcentral
GAAAUGCGAUAAGUAAUGUGAAUUGCAGAAUUCAGUGAAUCAUCGAAUCUUUGAACGCACAUUGCGCCCAUUAGUAUUCUAGUGGGCAUGCCUGUUCGAGCGUCAUUUCAACCCUUAAGCCUAGCUUAGCGUUGGGAGACUGCGCUAAACCGCAGCUCCUCAAAACCAGUGGCGGAGUCCUCUCGUACUCUGAGCGUAGUAAUUCUUUAUCUCGCUUCUGCAAGUACGGUUGACGACAGCCAUAAACCGCACCCUCUCGGGGGGCACUUUUUAAUGGUUGACCUCGGAUCAGGUAGGAAUACCCGCUGAACUUAA